CCCUGAUUAAUUCUAGCACAAUAAACUAAGUGAAAUCAAUAAAAUAUCGGCUCAUCAGUCUCCAAAAAUCUUUAUCCCACUUUAAACACCCUGAACCUUCAGUUUUUAUCAUUAAUUCAAAAUCUAAAUUACAACGUAUCAAUUCCUAACACUUACAAUAUGAAAGUUUAGCUCAAAUAGUAAUAAUCCAUAACAGAGUAGCUAUUAUUAGCUACUGUAUUGUGCUGGUACAAUAAGUAUAAAAGAUGUAACUAGUUCAAUUCACAUAGACAUUCAUACUCUGCUUUAUUUUGAUUUCCCUAUUCCUAUCUAAUGUAACUUUAACCUCAAAUACUCAUUAAUCUACUUCAAGAUUAACUAAGUGAACCCAAUUAUAACUUGACAGCAACAUGUUCUAAUAUUAUAAAAUCAUUUACUUAAAUUAAUAGAUAUGACAGAUAGUGUAAAAUUUAGAACUUAACCAAAAAUCAAGGUUGAUAUAUAUAACUUCAAAACAACAACAAACAUCAAGCUUACAAAUCAAAAACUUAUAUUAGAACCAAAGUUCUUUAUUCAAGGAGAUCCUUUCAGUUAUACCUUUUUUAAAUUGUCCCUUAACAACCAAAUGCCAAAAUUAAACAAUGACUAAGGUUUUGAAUACCUCUUUGGAGCUUAGCAGCAAUGCGUUGGAUAUUUUGAACGUGACUUAAGAAAAACGACGCCUUCUUAAGAUGGGAACUGAAAAUCCCGAUGUGGUUGUGUCUCAACAUGGCUCUGGCCAAUUUAAAUCUAUCAAUGAAGCUCUUCAGUCCGUUCCUACUAAAAAUGAUAAACUUUUUUGUGAUUUACGUCAAAGAAGAUGGACAUUAUAUAAGAACUCCAAUAAAACUGAACCAGAUUUAACAGAGACAUAACAAUUUCGUCAUAUCUCCAACAUUUAAUGAUGCAUACCCCCUUCAGCUGUUGCCUAUGCAAUAUGUCUAUCCUGAUUAAUUAUUGCACGCAAUUGCUAUGUUAUCACUUCAUAUAACUAAUCAAAAAUAAAAUGAUAAUAUACGCCACCUUUUUCAUCAAAAAACAUAAUGAACAAAGAAUGCAGAGAUACUGACCCUUCUCAACAUUGUCCUCAUCUAGAUCACGGUCCUCUCCCCUUGGACCUUCUUCAUCAACAUCACAAGCUCUUUUAUUAAGUCCAAGUCUACUCUUCCUUUGGAUUCCUUGUCUUCAUCCUCUUCUCCCUUAUCAGAAACAUGAUACCCAUAUGUAGUUUUCUUUUUAUUCUUCAUCUUCUCUUCUGCUUCCUCCAAUGUCAAUUGCUUAUAUUGAGAAAUGGGAUGCUUUAAAUAACUCCAUGUAACUAAAUACCAUGUAAGGAAGGAAAUAACUACAAAGUAAUGGUAAAUUUCAAUACCCACAAAGUACCAGUAAUGGCAACCGUGCAGUCCUUCCUUCUGCAGAGCCCACUCGUAAGGGAGAACAAAAUGUUUUCUUUGCAAAACAUUUCCGCCAAACCUCUGUACCUCUCACGUCUCGCACUUCACCCAUCUCUCACGAUUCUAGGGUUUGGUCCGAGAAAGAGGAAAAAAAAUUGAAGAAGAAGAACAACUACGUCAAAGGGCUUUUUGAUUUUAAAGAGAAAAAUAUAAAAAAACAAUUGAAGAAGAUGAAGAAGAUGAAGAAUGAGGUUGGGAGAGUUUCACUCCACAGGAAAUCGAAGAACGCAAAAGAGAACAGUUGAGGUGAAGAGGAGGAUGCGUGAAUCAGAAAAAAGCGAAAAGAAAUUAAGAAACGAGAUGGCGCCGAAGAGGCAACGAUUGUCGGCGACCUCGUCGGCUAGACUCACCUCGUUGAGAAAGCAUGGCAGCAAAGAUGAAGCAGGUUCAGGUUCUUGGAACGAUGAACUGGUUUUAGGGUUUGGCGUUUUGAUGGGCAAAAGUUCUUUUUAGGUUUUUAUUUAGGGGGAGUUUAAAAUCAUGGAGGGAAACGAAAAGCAUUGAAGAAAAGAAAAAGAUUAAGAAAAAUUAUAAUUUAUGUAAAAUAUAAACCUCUUCUAAAAGGAAUUUAAACCCCCUCUAUUGUUAGCACUUGAAC
This 2070-nucleotide long non-coding RNA is filed under the name Vigna radiata. RNAcentral's name for it is "long non-coding RNA (VRAD_LNC001831)". Lineage: Eukaryota; Viridiplantae; Streptophyta; Magnoliopsida; Fabales; Fabaceae. The record is from RNAcentral.